RNAcentral lists this long non-coding RNA (479 nucleotides) under Pandoravirus salinus. RNAcentral's name for it is "putative ncRNA". The record is from RNAcentral.
CGCAAAAGUCUUGCACAAAGCACGAAACGGCGCCCGACGCGCACUCGACGCGCCAUCGCGCAACCGACUGCCACGGCGCAUGGGCCUCUUCCCAAUAGGUGCCAUCGAGGGCAACCUCGGCGCCGUAGAGAAGGCUCCCUCUGUAAUAAUCUCCAACGCGCAUAGUGCCGUGGGCGGUCUUUCUCCCUGGUCCAUGGGCCGACGGACCAUCGCCAUGGACGAUGGCAUGCGCGCGAUACACCCACUGCCAAUCCUUGCCCAUGGCAAAGGCGUGUCCGAGCGGCGCAGGGAGACCGACAGCGGGUUCGCGCAGAGGCGGCAUGAGCGAUGCAGCAUCACCAUGAUCGUAAAGGAAGCGUGCCUCGGGCGGCCACGCCUCGGGCGCGAGCCAGCCGGAAGGCGGCACCAUCGUUGGGUCGAUAGCGAUGUACAGGCGGGCGAAAUCCUGUAUGAAUAGAAAGCGCCACAAAGAAAGAUCG